Molecule: ribosomal RNA, 37 nt
Filed under: uncultured Lachnum
Lineage: Eukaryota; Fungi; Ascomycota; Leotiomycetes; Helotiales; Hyaloscyphaceae
Description: partial 28S ribosomal RNA
Source: RNAcentral
UGACGUCGUUCAUGAGGAUGCUACUUAGUGAAAAUUA